Rhopalosiphum padi (bird cherry-oat aphid) is the source of this 1722-nucleotide long non-coding RNA. RefSeq lists it as uncharacterized. The transcript is spliced from 2 exons. The record is from RefSeq and is a predicted model, not a curated record. NCBI's taxonomy places the organism in Eukaryota, Metazoa, Arthropoda, Insecta, Hemiptera, Aphididae.
UUUUAUGAAAUUUCUCAAAAUCAUGAAAACAUGAAAAUUUGUCAACUAUAUUAAUUUUUUUGAAAGUAAUGUAUUUAUUUAAAUUUUGUUAAAGAUUUUAGUAGAAUAUUCUGGAAUGGUUAGAGAGGACAUUAAGGAGCUAAGGCCUAAGAGAAUUCUUACAAUUUGUAAGUUUGUUGUGAAAAGUGUUUAAAUAUAGACAUUUUAAAUUAAAAUUUAGACGAAAUUAGAUAUUUAAUAGAAGAAUAAUAAUUGUACUUAUUUUUUUGUAAUUUAAAAAUUUUAAUUAUGGAUACUUGAAACGUUCAACGUACCUAAGUUUAUUAUUAUGUUUUAUACACAAUGACAUUUUCAUAUUCUUAUUAAAUAGUAAAAUAAAUUACUUUAAUAGCAAUAUAAAUAAAUUAUAAAAUUUCCUUGUAAUACAGGCGAAUAAAUCAUCUACGUUUAGAAUCAUUUUUCGUAUACGAUGAUUUAUCAUUACAUCCAAAUUUAGCACAUAUAUUACAAUUACUUACUUCUCAAUGGACAAUGGCGGGAUAUAAUCGACACCCUCUUUUUUAAAUGUAUUCACUACUUUUCCCGUAUAAUGUUGACAUAUUAUAAAUAUAUUAAGCCCCAACUCUUAAAAUAAAUGCAUAAAUACAUGCAUAUAGGAGAUUUUCAUAAAAUGUACACAAUAACUUGUUAACUUAUAAUAUAACUAUACUAUAAUGAGAUAACAUUGUACAAAUUUGAAUUUACCGCCAUUUGAUGAAAACGAUAGAAUACAGUAACAUUUACCUAACUUUUACAACCUGGUAUUCGAAUUGUAUUAUUUGAUAAUGCGCAUGCGUAAUGCGUAUUAUAUUCUGUGCAACAGCGCGUUCUACGACGUUGAACGUACGCGGUCUCGGUGGUGGUAGUGCGGUACGCCGGUAGUCGGUACCCACGGAGCGCCAUUUUAUGCGUUACAGUCGCUUCACCAAGUCGUGUGUUUCCGACAUUUGCGCACCACAAUGGUGGCUUACCACGGACUAGGAUAAACUUCUAUCUUAGUCCGUGGUAACCUAUCUAAUUAUUCACGAUGCCGAUGCCACAGACCGUUGUCCAUAGGAUGAAGAUUGAGUGACCACUGCAGACCUAAAAUCACACGGGCUGUCGACCCGGCACUCCCCAACGGGUCCGCCGCCAUGACAGACCCGUUGUCCAUUGACCACGUGUUUUUCAUUUUCGAAUAAUGUCAAACGGACCGAUCACCCGCUAUGAAUAUUGCCGCAUCGCGUGUCACGUCUGACUGUGCGUAACAUCAAAUGAAUCAUGGAUGUUUUUGUCACGGCGGUGUUCCCACGGUUUUUGGAAGUACGCGAAUCUUUGGACGUUUUUGUGGCUUGAUGUCUGCACAAAAGAAAUGAUGAUAACCAGCAAAACGCGUCAUGGUACUAAGAUGGUUUUAGCCUACAUUUCUACCUGAUGUUGUGGAUAUAAGUCGUGAAGAUGGAAGCAGAUCGGAGUACUUCCAUGAGACGUGGGAACAGUGUUGGAUGAGAAGUUCUAUUACCUAUUUGAUUUGUAACUCAUUGGUCAAAUAUAGCCAUUCGAAGCAGUGAUAUCCAUAGAGGGAGACCGGACCAAUUGACUUAUUCAGAGUGUACGCAAAUUCUAAUGUUUACAAUAAAAAAAUUUUAAUUUGUUUUGAAAUAGUGCUUUUGAUAAAUAAACAACUAUUUAAUAUAUUUCUCA